This 253-nucleotide ribosomal RNA is filed under the name uncultured bacterium. RNAcentral's name for it is "partial 16S ribosomal RNA". It matches the Rfam family "Bacterial small subunit ribosomal RNA", at positions 524 to 776 of the family's 1533-position model. The record is from RNAcentral.
UACGAAGGAUCCAAGCGUUAUCCGGAUUCAUUGGGUUUAAAGGGUGCGUAGGCGGACUGAUAAGUCAGCGGUGAAAUCUCUCGGCUUAACCGAGAAACUGCCGUUGAUACUGUUAGUCUUGAGUACAGAUGAUGUUGGCGGAAUAUGACAUGUAGCGGUGAAAUGCUUAGAUAUGUCAUAGAACACCGAUUGCGAAGGCAGCUGACAAAACUGUAACUGACGCUGAGGCACGAAAGUGCGGGGAUCAAACAGG